This is a non-coding RNA of Amborella trichopoda, 1415 nucleotides long. Lineage: Eukaryota; Viridiplantae; Streptophyta; Magnoliopsida; Amborellales; Amborellaceae. The record is from RefSeq and is a predicted model, not a curated record.
UUUCAAUAUCUUGAGUCGAUAACUUAGGAAAAUGGAGAGAUUGAAAUGACCGACCCCUCUUUUCUCUUUAAAACCCUAAUUAGGGUCGAUAACCUAAUUAGGGCGUACCCCUCUUUUCUCUUCAAAACCCUAAUUAGGGUUUUAUUUUUUUACUAUUUGAUCCAUAUCCAUUUCUAGUGUAAAGAGGAUUAAACCAUUUAAAAACCUUUUAGAACUUUCUAUUAUCUCUUUAAAAAUUUUUGGAAAUCAAAGAUAAUAUUAUGUUCGAACUAACUCCCCCCCAAAAAAAGGACAUCUUUUCUUGUAAAAGAUAAUUUAUUUAAUUUAACUUAAAGCAAACUUCUAAAAUGAGGAGUGGGGCAUGCGACCCCCAUGGGAGAUAAGUGGGCCCUAAGAGCUCCAGGCCCACCCAUGUGAGGAUGGCGCACAUGUGGGACAUGAUCCAAGGGCUUUUGCAUGUGGCCUUCCUUAUAAAUAUAUCAAAAAUUCCUUUUUUGAGGAAUUUUACAGCAGAAAAUGAUUUUAAAAUUUUUAAUUUUUUUGAAUUCAUAAAAAUAUUUAUGAUACCAUAAUUAAAAUAUUUAGAAAUGGAUUAGCACCAAUAGGUCAAAACAGGUAAUUAUAAGGGCACUCGCUAGACAUAGUGGCUAUGAUCCACAACUGUCUUCUCAAACCAACUCAACGAAAUGUAUGACCCACAAUCUCAUGCAGGAGUUCAUACCUGACUCAUCAAAGCCGACUAAUAAACAGUGGAAUUACAGUCCCAGAUUGUGGUUUUUAGUUCUCCCUUUAAGAGCAAGUCAAGUACAUGUCACUACAGUGCAAGGGGGAAUCCGUUUAUGCAAAUGGACACGUAUCCCUUUCGAGGGAACCACACAACUCUUUGGAUGUACAAGCCAUCCAUAGGUAUAUCUCCGAAUUCAAUAAGGGACGAUCAAUUAUAAAUCCUUUUCGAUAGUGCUCCGUGCCCCGGGGUAAGGUUUUGGACAUGUGGCCAUGGCCAUAGACCGUCAAACCUUUAGUCAAUCAACAUACACUCCUACUAUAACAAAUGAUUUUUACAAACUCUAACGGCUGUCAAAGGCCACAAACCCCAACAUGUAUAACGCUACUUAUUGAAGAGAAACAAGAAGUCUUUCUUUAAUUCUUGGUCAUGUUUUCUUAAAUUGUCAGUUAUAUGAAUUUGAUUUUACUUGGCCAGCUCCUUUGAUAAUUAAUAUAUUGUCUUUUUAACUAUUUAUGGAUGUUAGUGCGUGACCUUAUGAAAGGCAGCUGAUUGUGAUAGGAACUUGAGUUGAAAGUCUCUCUCCCUUCUAUUUUUAUUUUUUUUCAACUUCUAUGGAGAACUUUCGUUAACGAGUUUCUUGCAAGCGCCUUUCUGAAAUGAAAAGAAGACUUUGGAAUCUUUGGCAUGA